This is a small nucleolar RNA of Oryza sativa Japonica Group (Japanese rice), 139 nucleotides long. It matches the Rfam family "Small nucleolar RNA Z247". From Rfam's summary of the family: Z247 is a member of the C/D class of snoRNA which contain the C (UGAUGA) and D (CUGA) box motifs. Most of the members of the box C/D family function in directing site-specific 2'-O-methylation of substrate RNAs. NCBI's taxonomy places the organism in Eukaryota, Viridiplantae, Streptophyta, Magnoliopsida, Poales, Poaceae. The record is from Rfam.
CCAAUGGAUGAUGAGGAAUUGAUGUCCUACAUCCUUGCCGGUCUUGAUGAUGAUUGGGAACCAGUGGUGUCUUCCCUCGUCGGGAGACCAGAUGCAGUUUCCUUCUCCGAGUUCUACUCUCAACUUCUGAGCUUCGAAU